This 1284-nucleotide ribosomal RNA is filed under the name Polymerurus nodicaudus. RNAcentral's name for it is "eukaryotic LSU rRNA". It matches the Rfam family "Eukaryotic large subunit ribosomal RNA", at positions 39 to 1079 of the family's 3401-position model. The record is from RNAcentral. Lineage: Eukaryota; Metazoa; Gastrotricha; Chaetonotida; Chaetonotidae.
CAUAUCACUAAGCGGAGAAAAAGAAAAUAACAAUGAUUCCUAGAGUAACGGCGAGUGAAAUAGGAAAAGCCCAUAGCCGAAUUCUGCUGUCCUCGAUGGCAGCUAGAAGUUGUGGCGUUGGGAACUGCCUACUUGUAACCGAUCGGCCGGGCUACGCGACUCCUCUUGAUUGUGGUUUGCCCAUAGCAGGUGAAAGGCCUAUUGGCCGUAGCCUCGUGCUGAAGGCCGGCGGUGAUGGCAGUCCUUAGAGUCGGUUUGUUUGGGAUUGCAGACCGAAGUAGGUGGUAAACUCCACCUAAGGCUAAAUACGAUCGCGAGUCCGAUAGCGCACAAGUACCGUGAGGGACAGUUGAAAAGAACUUUGAAGAGAGAGUUCAAAGUACGUGAAACCGUUCAGAGGUAAACGGGUAGAAAGUCGAAUUGAAAGUUGACAAUCAAACCGUUGGUCAAGUCGGGGUUGGGCUGGUAAUACGUUAAAGGUURCCAGUUUACUCGUAUGGCUGGCUACGGUUGUAUUUGUUGACUUUGGAUCGCCGCAACGGCAGUGACUGACCGGCUGGCGUCUAUUCCUCUGGUUGAUGUAGAUCCGUAUGGGUCUUGUAUAAAACGUCAGCACAUGGAUAGGCGUCCCGCGUACAUGGCACAGUCGAUAAUGAACAGUAGCUUAAGCGUUCCAUCUGGUUAUCCGUUCGUUUUGUAUUGGCGGUUUGAUCUUAAACAAGUUCAGCCGUUGAUAUCAGGGCGGCGGUGGCUGGUUUAAUGACGGAACAAAGGCUACAUUGGCGGCGUUAGACUACGAAUUGUCUACCUGACCCGUCUUGAAACACGGACCAAGGAGUCUAACAUGUGCGCGAGCCAUUGGGAUUGAUUUWUAAUAACGAUACCCAAAGGCAAAGUGAAAGCAAAAAUGGUGAGAUCUGUCGUUAAUUUGUUAAAGCAAAUAACGGCGGCGCAUCAUCGUCACGCCUCAUAACGGCUUCGGCUGUAGAGGCGCAGACUGAGCGCACAGGUUGGGACCCGAAAGAUGGUGAACUAUGCGAGGCGAGGUCGAAGCCAGAGGAAACUCUGGUGGAGGACUGUAGCGGUUCUAACGUGCAAAUUGAUCGUCGCAGCUUCGUAUAGGGGCGAAAGACUAAUCGAACCAUCUAGUAGCUGGUUCCCUCCGAAGUUUCCCUCAGGAUAGCUGGCACUUUCGGAGAGCAGUUUUGUCCGGUAAAGCGAAUGAUUAGAGGCCUUGGGGACAUAACGACCUCAACCUAUUCUCAAACUUUGAAUGGGCAAGAA